This 260-nucleotide ribosomal RNA is filed under the name uncultured bacterium. RNAcentral's name for it is "partial 16S ribosomal RNA". It matches the Rfam family "Bacterial small subunit ribosomal RNA", at positions 94 to 353 of the family's 1533-position model. The record is from RNAcentral.
AGCGGCGGACGGGUGAGUAACGCGUGGGCAACCUGCCUCACACAGGGGAGUAACAGUUAGAAAUGACUGCUAAUACCGCAUAAGACCACGAAACCGCAUGGUUUGAGGUAAAAACUCCGGUGGUGUGAGAUGGGCCCGCGUCUGAUUAGGUAGUUGGUGCGGUAACGGCGCACCAAGCCGACGAUCAGUAGCCGACCUGAGAGGGUGACCGGCCACAUUGGGACUGAGACACGGCCCAAACUCCUACGGGAGGCAGCAUG